CCUGUAUGCAUACAUAAACAGGUAAAAAUCAUUAAAGUUCGUUAUUGAAUAGCGUUAAUUAUUCAAACAUUUUACCACUAGAAAUGGAUAGUUACACAAAUGAAAGAUUGACAUAAUAGAAGACUGAUGAUUUCAGAAACAUCAGAGUUUCAUCCUCCUUUACGUGUGUGGAUUCUCC
Neltuma alba is the source of this 178-nucleotide long non-coding RNA. RefSeq lists it as uncharacterized. The record is from RefSeq and is a predicted model, not a curated record. NCBI's taxonomy places the organism in Eukaryota, Viridiplantae, Streptophyta, Magnoliopsida, Fabales, Fabaceae. The transcript has 3 exons.